AUUACCGAGUUAGGGUCUCACCGGCCCGAUCUCCCAACCCUUUGUCUACUUGACCAUCGUUGCUUCGGCGAGCCCGUCCUCACGGACCGCCGGGGGGUCUUUGUACCCCUUGGCCCGCGCUCGUCGACAGCCCCCAAAUUUAAAAAAUCUUAACUAAACGUGUCUUGAAUCUAAGUAUUAUUGUUAAAUAAAAACAAAACUUUCAACAACGGAUCUCUUGGUUCUGGCAUCGAUGAAGAACGCAGCGAAAUGCGAUAAGUAAUGCGAAUUGCAGAAUUCCAGUGAGUCAUCGAAUCUUUGAACGCACAUUGCGCCCUUUGGUAUUCCGAAGGGCAUGCCUGUUCGAGCGUCAUUAUCACCCCUCAAGCCCUCGGCUUGGUGUUGGACGGCUUGGUGGAGACCCCCUUUGCGGGCUUCUACCCCUCCCAAAGACAAUGACGGCGGCCUCGUUGGACCCCCGGUACACUGAGUUCUUCACGGGACACGUAUCGGACACAUGGGUUCACGGGACACGGUCUGCCUCCCCUCAGGGAGAAUCUUUUUUUAUCAAGGUUGACCUCGGAUCAGGUAGGGAUACCCGCUGAACU
Molecule: ribosomal RNA, 587 nt
Filed under: fungal sp.
Lineage: Eukaryota; Fungi
Description: eukaryotic LSU rRNA
Rfam family: 5.8S ribosomal RNA (bases 198-352)
Source: RNAcentral